RNAcentral lists this unclassified non-coding RNA (307 nucleotides) under uncultured fungus. Its description in RNAcentral is "partial contains small subunit ribosomal RNA, internal transcribed spacer 1, and 5.8S ribosomal RNA". The stretch from base 1 to 73 matches the Rfam family "Eukaryotic small subunit ribosomal RNA", at positions 1759 to 1831 of the family's 1831-position model. Lineage: Eukaryota; Fungi. The record is from RNAcentral.
GCAAACUUGGUCAUUUAGAGGAAGUAAAAGUCGUAACAAGGUUUCCGUAGGUGAACCUGCGGAAGGAUCAUUACCGAGUGAGGGUUCCUUGAGGGCCCAACCUCCCACCCGUGUUUAACUAUACCGUGUUGCUUUGGCGGGCCCACUGGGGCUUUGUUCCCGGUCGCCGGGGGGGAAACCCCCGGGCCUGUUGCCCGCCAAAGACCCUACCAACUCUGUUUGAAUUAGUUGGUCUGAGCAAUGAUGAUAAAUCGUUAAAACUUUCAACAACGGAUCUCUUGGUUCCGGCAUCGAUGAAGAACGCAGC